RNAcentral lists this ribosomal RNA (240 nucleotides) under uncultured bacterium. RNAcentral's name for it is "partial 16S ribosomal RNA". It matches the Rfam family "Bacterial small subunit ribosomal RNA", at positions 15 to 252 of the family's 1533-position model. The record is from RNAcentral.
GAUCCUGGCUCAGAUUGAACGCUGGCGGCAGGCCUAACACAUGCAAGUCGAACGGUAACAGGAAGCAGCUUGCUGCUUUGCUGACGAGUGGCGGACGGGUGAGUAAUGUCUGGGAAACUGCCUGAUGGAGGGGGAUAACUACUGGAAACGGUAGCUAAUACCGCAUAACGUCGCAAGACCAAAGAGGGGGACCUUCGGGCCUCUUGCCAUCGGAUGUGCCCAGAUGGGAUUAGCUGUUGG